Molecule: ribosomal RNA, 301 nt
Filed under: uncultured bacterium
Lineage: Bacteria
Description: partial 16S ribosomal RNA
Rfam family: Bacterial small subunit ribosomal RNA
Source: RNAcentral
CAGUAGCCGCGGUAAUACGAAGGGUGCAAGCGUUAAUCGGAAUUACUGGGCGUAAAGCGUGCGUAGGCGGUUUGUUAAGUCUGUUGUGAAAUCCCCCGGCUCAACCGGGGAGGGUCAUUGGAAACUGGGAAACUUGAGUGCAGAAGAGGAGAGUGGAAUUCCACGUGUAGCGGUGAAAUGCGUAGAGAUCUGGAGGAAUACCGGUGGCGAAGGCGGCCCCCUGGACAAAGACUGACGCUCAGGUGCGAAAGCGUGGGGAGCAAACAGGAUUAGAUACCCCAGUAGUCCCUGUCUCUUAUAC